GAUGAACGCUGGCGGCGUGCCUCAAACAUGCAAGUCGAGCGGGGCUAUGUAAUAUCGCAAGGUAGAACAUAGCCUAGCGGCGAACGGGUGAGUAACACGUGGGUAACCUGCCUGGAAGACAGGGAUAACGAUUCGAAAGGGUCGCUAAUACCUGAUAAUAUCCUUUCAUCGCAUGGUGAUAGGAAGAAAGGGGGAAACCCGCUUUCAGAUGGGCCCGCGUCCCAUCAGCUAGUUGGUAAGGUAAAGGCUUACCAAGGCGACGACGGGUAGCCGGUCUGAGAGGAUGUACGGCCACACUGGGACUGAGAUACGGCCCAGACUCCUACGGGAGGCAGCAGUGGGGAAUAUUGCACAAUGGGCGAAAGCCUGAUGCAGCAACGCCGCGUGGAGGAUGAAGGCCUUCGGGUUGUAACUACUUGUCUUCUGGACGAUAAUGACGGUACCAGAGGAGGAAGCCACGGCUAACUACGUGCCAGCAGCCGCGGUAAACGGAGUAGUACAA
This 502-nucleotide ribosomal RNA is filed under the name uncultured bacterium. RNAcentral's name for it is "bacterial SSU rRNA". It matches the Rfam family "Bacterial small subunit ribosomal RNA", at positions 28 to 537 of the family's 1533-position model. The record is from RNAcentral.